GAUGAACGCUGGCGGCGUGCCUAAUACAUGCAAGUCGAGCGGUAAGGCCCCUUCGGGGGUACACGAGCGGCGGACGGGUGAGUAAUACGUAGGAAUAUACCCCAGAGUGAGGGAUAACUGGCCGAAAGGUCAGCUAAUACCGCAUACACUCUACGGAGCAAAGCAGCAAUGCGCUUUGGGAAUAGCCUGCGUCCGAUUAGCUAGUUGGUAGGGUAAUGGCCUACCAAGGCGACGAUCGGUAGCUGUUCUGAGAGGAUGAUCAGCCACACUGGAACUGAGACACGGUCCAGACUCCUACGGGAGGCAGCAGUAGGGAAUUUUCCACAAUGGGCGAAAGCCUGAUGGAGCAACGCCGCGUGCAGGAUGAAGGCCUUCGGGUUGUAAACUGCUUUUAUCUGUGACGAUGAUGACAGUAGCAGAUGAAUAAGGAUCGGCUAACUCCGUGCCAGCCGCCGCAGUAA
Molecule: ribosomal RNA, 461 nt
Filed under: uncultured bacterium
Lineage: Bacteria
Description: partial 16S ribosomal RNA
Rfam family: Bacterial small subunit ribosomal RNA
Source: RNAcentral